Molecule: ribosomal RNA, 499 nt
Filed under: uncultured Glomeromycotina
Lineage: Eukaryota; Fungi; Glomeromycota
Description: partial small subunit ribosomal RNA
Rfam family: Eukaryotic small subunit ribosomal RNA
Source: RNAcentral
CCAAUAGCGUAUAUUAAAGUUGUUGCAGUUAAAAAGCUCGUAGUUGAAUUUCGGGAUCAAGGAAUCGGUCAUGCCUUGGUAUGUACUGGUUUUAUUGGUUCUCACCUUCUAAAGAACCAUAAUGUCAUUUAUUUGAUGUUAUGGGGAAUUAGGACUGUUACCUUGAAAAAAUUAGAGUGUUUAAAGCAAGCUUACGCUUGAAUACAUUAGCAUGGAAUAAAGAAAUAGGACAUCAGAUUCUAUUUUGUUGGUUUCUAGGAUCGAUGUAAUGAUUAAUAGGGAUAGUUGGGGGCAUUAGUAUUCAAUUGUCAGAGGUGAAAUUCUUGGAUUUAUUGAAGACUAACUACUGCGAAAGCAUUUGCCAAGGAUGUUUUCAUUAAUCAAGAACGAAAGUUAGGGGAUCGAAGACGAUCAGAUACCGUCGUAGUCUUAACCAUAAACUAUGCCGACUAGGGAUCGGAUGAUGUUAAUUUUUUAAUGACUCAUUCGGCACCUUACG